GCUGGCGGCGUGGUUAAGACAUGCAAGUCGAACGAGAAGCUCCCUUCGGGGAGUGGAGAGUGGCGCACGGGUGAGUAACACGUGAGCAACCUGCCGGGAAGCCCGGGAUAGCCCUCCGAAAGGAGGAUUAAUACCGGAUGUGGCCACCCUGCGAUUGCGGGGGAAGCUAAAGGAUUUAUUCACUUCCCGAGGGGCUCGCGGCCCAUCAGCUUGUUGGUGAGGGUAACGGCCCACCAAUGCGACAACGGGUAGCUGGUCUGAGAGGAUGGUCAGCCACACUGGAACUGAGACACGGUCCAGACACCUACGGGUGGCAGCAGUCGAGAAUCAUUCGCAAUGGGGGAAACCCUGACGAUGCGACGCCGCGUGGAGGAUGAAGGCCUUAGGGUUGUAAACUCCUGUCAAGAGGGAAUAAGCAAGUGAAGGUACCUCUAGAGGAAGGGGCGGCUAAUUCCGUGCCAGCAGCCGCGGUAACACGGAAGCCCCGAGCGUUGUUCGGAUUCAUUGGGCGUAAAGGGUGCGUAGGCGGCGCGGAAAGUCCGGCGUGAAAGGCAGGGGCUCAACCUCUGGACUGCGUUGGAUACUUCCGUGCUUGAGGACUGGAGGGGAGACUGGAAUUCACGGUGUAGCAGUGAAAUGCGUAGAUAUCGUGAGGAAGACCGGUGGCGAAGGCGAGUCUCUGGACAGAUCCUGACGCUGAGGCACGAAGGCUGGGGGAGCGAACAGGAUUAGAUACCCUGGUAGUCCCAGCAGUAAACGAUGUGAGCUUGAUGUGGGGGGAUUCGAGCCCUUCCGUGUCGAAGCUAACGCGAUAAGCUCACCG
RNAcentral lists this ribosomal RNA (823 nucleotides) under uncultured organism. RNAcentral's name for it is "bacterial SSU rRNA". It matches the Rfam family "Bacterial small subunit ribosomal RNA", at positions 35 to 871 of the family's 1533-position model. The record is from RNAcentral.